UGCAACUCGACUCCAUGAAGCUGGAUUCGCUAGUAAUCGCGCAUCAGCCACGGCGCGGUGAAUACGUUCCCGGGCCUUGUACACACCGCCCGUCAAGCCAUGGAAGCCGGGAGUGCCUGAAGUACGCGACCGCAAGAAGCGUCCUAAGGUAAAACCGGUGACUGGGGCUAAGUCGUAACAAGGUACC
This 187-nucleotide ribosomal RNA is filed under the name uncultured bacterium. RNAcentral describes it as "partial 16S ribosomal RNA". It matches the Rfam family "Bacterial small subunit ribosomal RNA", at positions 1306 to 1500 of the family's 1533-position model. The record is from RNAcentral.